AGGCGUGUGGCUCAGUUGGUAGAGCAUUCGCUUAGCAUCUCAUCAUCUUCUGAAGGCGAUUCCCGUGAUGCGGAAGGUCCUGGGUUCGAUUCCCAGCCCCUCCA
This is a non-coding RNA of Podospora didyma, 104 nucleotides long. The record is from the annotation of a GenBank genome assembly. Lineage: Eukaryota; Fungi; Ascomycota; Sordariomycetes; Sordariales; Podosporaceae.